GGGGAUGACGUCAAGUCAUCAUGGCCCUUACGGCCAGGGCUACACACGUGCUACAAUGGUCGGUACAAAGGGUUGCCAAGCCGCGAGGUGGAGCUAAUCCCAUAAAACCGAUCGUAGUCCGGAUCGCAGUCUGCAACUCGACUGCGUGAAGUCGGAAUCGCUAGUAAUCGUGAAUCAGAAUGUCACGGUGAAUACGUUCCCGGGCCUUGUACACACCGCCCGUCACACCAUGGGAGUGGGUUGCUCCAGAAGUAGCUAGUCUAACCGCAAGGGGGACGGUUACCACGGAGUGAUUCAUGACUGGGGUGAAGUCGUAACAAGGUAGCCGUAGGGGAACCUGCGGCUGGAUCACCUCCUUA
Molecule: ribosomal RNA, 359 nt
Filed under: Pseudomonas aeruginosa
Lineage: Bacteria; Pseudomonadati; Pseudomonadota; Gammaproteobacteria; Pseudomonadales; Pseudomonadaceae
Also listed under: 1 other name
Description: bacterial SSU rRNA
Rfam family: Bacterial small subunit ribosomal RNA
Source: RNAcentral